Mus caroli (Ryukyu mouse) is the source of this 934-nucleotide non-coding RNA. NCBI's taxonomy places the organism in Eukaryota, Metazoa, Chordata, Mammalia, Rodentia, Muridae. The record is from RefSeq and is a predicted model, not a curated record.
AUGAACGGCAAAGAAGGACCAGGAGGGUUCGGGAAGAGGAAGCAUGACAACUUCCCACAUAACCAAAGGUGAGAGGGGAAGAAUGCCAGUUUGUCUUCGCUGGUGAUGCAGGCCUUCAAAUCAUUUCAGCAGGAGCUGGACGCGAGGCACGACAAAUAUGAGAGACUCGUGAAGCUAAGCCGGGAUAUUACUGUGGAAAGUAAGAGGACAAUUUUUCUUCUCCAUAGGAUUACAAGUGCUCCUGAUAUGGAGGAGAUACUGACUGAAUCAGAAAGUAAGCUGGAUGGUGUCAGACAGAAAAUCCUGCAGGUAGCCCAAGAGCUCUCGGGAGAAGACUUGCACCAGUUCCAUUGAGCCGUCACCACAGGACUGCAGGAAUUAUGUGGAGGCUGUCUCCUUUCAACACUUCAUAAAAACUCGUUCACUGAUCAGUAUGGAAGAGAUUAACAAGCAAUUGACAUUUACAGCAGAAGGCAGUGGGAAAGAGAGCAAGACUCCUCCCACUGAUGGACAAGAGAAGCAGACUGAAGAUCACACCUGUUGACUACCUGCUGGGCGUGGCCAACUUAACUGGAGAGUAGAUGCGGAUGUGUAUUAACAGUGUGGGGAAUGGGGACAUCCACACCCCCUUUGAAGUGAGCCCGUUUUUACGCCAGGUUUACGAUGGGUUCUCGUUCAUUGGCAACACUGGCAACUAUGCUGUACACCUUGAAACAGAGCCUGGCCAAAGUGGAGAACGCUUGCUAUGCCCUGAAAGUCCGGGGUUCCGAGAUUCCUAAGCACAUGCUGGCAGACAUGUUUUCAGUUAAAACAGACAAGAUUGAUCAGGAAGAGAGCAUUUCUUAAGCAGCCCCACUCUGCUCUCUAAGGAGCUCCUGGGCGACCAGUUGGUGAGACUGUUCUGAGUGUGCAUCUGAGUUUAUUGGGGCUUCUG